Molecule: non-coding RNA, 84 nt
Organism: Podarcis lilfordi (Lilford's wall lizard)
Lineage: Eukaryota; Metazoa; Chordata; Lepidosauria; Squamata; Lacertidae
Source: the annotation of a GenBank genome assembly
GCCCAACAAACUCUGGAUAACUCAGUCGAAACAGCGCGGGACUCUUAAAUCGCAUUUUUGUGGGUUCGAGCCCCACGUUGGGCA